GCCGCCCCACCAGGCCCGGAGCAUGCGCGGGCGCACUGAGACCUCAGCCUUACAAGACCGGCUCCGCUGAGGCUCCGCCGGCCGCCAGGUAUCCGCUCAGCGCAGGGCGCGGCGGACCUGCGGGCCGUGGGAACCGCUGGGCAGUGGCAGCGAGGCCCCUCACCUGUCUCUGGGGCCCCCCGGGGACGACCGGACCCCGAUCUCUGCGCCCCGCAGGACGCGCGUUGACGGUCGCCCGUGUGCAGCGCCACCAUCCCGGCCGCUCUUCCAAUCUCGCCUUUCUCCGGGCACCUGCCGCCCCUCCCCCGCUCCCCAGACAGGCUUUGCGGAGGGGGCUCAUUCCGCCCGGGGCUGCCGGGCCCUCCGCAGGAGUUGGCUCCCCACAAGGUUCCGGGGCCGAGACGACAGGGCGGUUCUGUGGUGCUGGGUGCUGGGACUUCAGGGGCACAGGGGCACCUGCCCUGGAGGAGGCCGAGGCGCAGCCCCCCAGGAGGAAGGGGUGCCUCUGGUGACUUUCAGCGGGACUCUUCCAGCCGGACUCUAGUGCAGCUGAGCUCCUCCCCCAGUCCCGGCUCUGUCCCUGCCCCAGGUGUCCAGCAGGCCCUGGAAUCCGCAAAGGCAGAAGGGGAAGUUGGGGUGCUGGGUGCUGGGCAGGGGGUGCUGAGGCCUCACAGCCCGGCGGCUUGGCCCCCACCCACCCCACGGUGGUCCCGCGCCCCACACUUCCUCUCCUCUCCUGUGGUUUCUCCUUCCACUCAGUGCUGCCCAGAGAUGGGCUUCUGUCUAGUUCUCCUGAGAAAUUCCACACUCGCAGCUGGGAAGUCGGGGGACCCCCGAAGCUGUGCGGCGGCCACGCUGCGGCUCCUGCUUCCCUCCUGCUCGGGUGCGGGCUCGGCUGCCUUCUCGUCCCGCGGAGCCCGGAGUGCCUCCCCCUCGGGUAGAUCCUACUAACAGCAUCAAAGAAAUAAUGAAAUAAUCUCUCCUUGGUGUGUUCUUACCGUCCUAAUAGGCACAAGGGGACUCUUCAGUGCAUUUUCCAAAACCUGUACAAACUCUCUUGACAUAAAUGCAGUGAGUUUACAAUAAAAUCGCAGUGGGAGGUAA
Molecule: long non-coding RNA, 1104 nt
Organism: Homo sapiens (human)
Lineage: Eukaryota; Metazoa; Chordata; Mammalia; Primates; Hominidae
Source: Ensembl